GUGUCAGCAGCCGCGGUAAUACGUAGGUGGCAAGCGUUGUCCGGAUUUACUGGGCGUAAAGGGCGUGCAGGCGGUCUGUUAAGUCUAGGGUGAAAGCUCCCGGCUCAACUGGGAGAGGUCCUUGGAUACUGGCGGACUUGAGGGAGGUAGAGGAGAGUGGAAUUCCCGGUGUAGUGGUGAUAUGCGUAGAUAUCGGGAGGAACACCAGUGGCGAAGGCGGCUCUCUGGGCCUUUCCUGACGCUGAGACGCGAAAGCGUGGGGAGCGAACCGGAUUAGAUACCCCCGUAGUCC
Molecule: ribosomal RNA, 292 nt
Filed under: uncultured bacterium
Lineage: Bacteria
Description: partial 16S ribosomal RNA
Rfam family: Bacterial small subunit ribosomal RNA
Source: RNAcentral